GAAAUGCGAUAAGUAGUGUGAAUUGCAGAAUUCAGUGAAUCAUCGAAUCUUUGAACGCACAUCGCGCCCUUUGGUAUUCCAAAGGGCAUGCCUGUUCGAGCGUCAUUUGUACCCUCAAGCUUUGCUUGGUGUUGGGCGUCUUGUCUCUAGCUUUGCUGGAGACUCGCCUUAAAGUAAUUGGCAGCCGGCCUACUGGUUUCGGAGCGCAGCACAAGUCGCACUCUCUAUCAGCAAAGGUCUAGCAUCCAUUAAGCCUUUUUUCAACUUUUGACCUCGGAUCAGGUAGGGAUACCCGCUGAACUUAAGC
RNAcentral lists this unclassified non-coding RNA (307 nucleotides) under plant metagenome. Its description in RNAcentral is "partial contains 5.8S ribosomal RNA, internal transcribed spacer 2, and large subunit ribosomal RNA". The stretch from base 1 to 105 matches the Rfam family "5.8S ribosomal RNA", at positions 50 to 154 of the family's 154-position model. The record is from RNAcentral.